AGAAUAAUAACGUGUCAUGUCAAUACCGUACAUACAGAGUUGUGCAUAAUUUUUAAAUUUUACAUACAUAAAGAGGCCAACUUUAAUUAUACAUACAUCACAUGGCCAAUAUAAUUACAUGACGUAAGGUCUAGUCUAUCAUCUAACUAAGUAAGGACCCUUGGCCACAAAAUUAUGAUUCUUGCAAGCGUACUCUCUCCUUAAGGCUCCUCGGCUUGGCU
This 221-nucleotide long non-coding RNA is filed under the name Actinidia chinensis (golden kiwifruit). RNAcentral describes it as "long non-coding RNA (ACHI_LNC009301)". The record is from RNAcentral. Lineage: Eukaryota; Viridiplantae; Streptophyta; Magnoliopsida; Ericales; Actinidiaceae.